This 387-nucleotide ribosomal RNA is filed under the name uncultured bacterium. Its description in RNAcentral is "bacterial SSU rRNA". It matches the Rfam family "Bacterial small subunit ribosomal RNA", at positions 29 to 418 of the family's 1533-position model. The record is from RNAcentral.
AUUGAACGCUGGCGGCAUGCCUUACACAUGCAAGUCGAACGUGAAAGGGGGGCAACCCCCGAGUAGAGUGGCGGACGGGUGAGCAACACAUCGGAACGUACCCAGUAGUGGGGGACAACCUCGAGAAAUCGAGGCUAAUACCGCAUACGACCCACGGGUGAAAGCGGGGGACCGCAAGGCCUCGCGCUAUUGGAGCGGCCGAUGUCCGAUUAGCUUGUUGGUGGGGUAACGGCCCACCAAGGCGACGAUCGGUAGCUGGUCUGAGAGGAUGAUCAGCCACACUGGGACUGAGACACGGCCCAGACUCCUACGGGAGGCAGCAGUGGGGAAUUUUGGACAAUGGGGGCAACCCUGAUCCAGCCAUGCCGCGUGCGGGAAGAAGGCCUU